This 417-nucleotide ribosomal RNA is filed under the name Kocuria sp. 001-4.1-CV-A-01. RNAcentral describes it as "bacterial SSU rRNA". It matches the Rfam family "Bacterial small subunit ribosomal RNA", at positions 66 to 494 of the family's 1533-position model. The record is from RNAcentral. Lineage: Bacteria; Bacillati; Actinomycetota; Actinomycetes; Micrococcales; Micrococcaceae.
GCUGAAACACCAGCUUGCUGGUGUGGAUGAGUGGCGAACGGGUGAGUAAUACGUGAGUAACCUGCCCUUGACUCUGGGAUAAGCCCGGGAAACUGGGUCUAAUACUGGAUACUACAUGUCACCGCAUGGUGGUGUGUGGAAAGGGUUUACUGGUCUUGGAUGGGCUCACGGCCUAUCAGCUUGUUGGUGAGGUAAUGGCUCACCAAGGCGACGACGGGUAGCCGGCCUGAGAGGGUGACCGGCCACACUGGGACUGAGACACGGCCCAGACUCCUACGGGAGGCAGCAGUGGGGAAUAUUGCACAAUGGGCGAAAGCCUGAUGCAGCGACGCCGCGUGAGGGAUGACGGCCUUCGGGUUGUAAACCUCUUUCAGCAGGGAAGAAGCCACAAGUGACGGUACCUGCAGAAGAAGCGCC